GACUGGGAUAACCCUGGGAAACUGGGGCUAAUACCGGAUAGGCAAUUAUUCCUGCAAUGGUUUUUUGUUUAAAUGUUUUUUCGCCUAAGGAUGGGUCUGCGGCCGAUUAGGUAGUUGGUUAGGUAAUGGCUUACCAAGCCGUUGAUCGGUACGGGUUGUGAGAGCAAGAGCCCGGAGAUGGAACCUGAGACAAGGUUCCAGGCCCUACGGGGUGCAGCAGGCGCGAAACCUCCGCAAUGUGAGAAAUCGCGACGGGGGGAUCCCAAGUGCCAUUCUUAACGGGAUGGCUUUUCAUUAGUGUAAAGAGCUUUUGGAAUAAGAGCUGGGCAAGACCGGUGCCAGCCGCCGCGGUAACACCGGCAGCUCUAGUGGUAACAAUUUUUAUUGGGCCUAAAGCGUCCGUAGCCGGUUUAAUAAGUCUCUGGUGAAAUCCUGUAGCUUAACUGUGGGAAUUGCUGGAGAUACUAUUAGACUUGAGACCGGGAGAGGUUAGAGGUACUCCCAGGGUAGAGGUGAAAUUCUGUAAUCCUGGGAGGACCGCCUGUUGCGAAGGCGUCUAACUGGAACGGUUCUGACGGUGAGGGACG
RNAcentral lists this ribosomal RNA (587 nucleotides) under uncultured archaeon. RNAcentral describes it as "bacterial SSU rRNA". It matches the Rfam family "Archaeal small subunit ribosomal RNA", at positions 119 to 706 of the family's 1478-position model. The record is from RNAcentral.